GUUUAAUUUAGCAGAAUUAUUGAAUUCAUAUAUCAGCAAGGUUCAAAUGUUUUUUCAGAGACACAAAUCUAAAUUAUUGUGUUAGUGUCACUUUAUUGUGCAGUGUUCAGAAGUCUCGAAUUGGAGGUACUCUCCAGAUCCCUAAAGCACUUAAGCUUGCUGAAAACCUCUAUAUGUGAAGAGUGUGUCCUCUUUUACUUGUUUUUCUUGCGAAAAGUGCAGAUUUCAGUAGAAAAUGUCCCUUUCUAAAUGUACCUGGUUACACCCAGGGCCGGCGCUACCUGUAAGGCGACCUAGGAAUCACCGGUGCAGCUCCUCAUGCUGCGCCGCCUGAGUACUUUUGCAAGCCUCAGGCGGCGCAGCACUGCUGUAUGGAGGGCGGCCGGAUUUGAGUGACCGGCAGGAGGGAAGCGCAAAGCGCUUCCUCCUGCUGGUCUCUCAAUGUAGCGUGGCCAGGCGGCGCGGGACAGGAACCUCUGUUUCCUGUACCCGGCUGCCGUCCGACUGAGAGGAAGUGCUCACUCAGUCAGCGCUUCCCUUCAGUCCACCGGCAGCCGGGUACAGGAAACAGAAGUUCGCGUUCCGAAGCUACAUAGGCAGGAAGGAAGAGGAGGGUAAGGACCACUAGGGGAGGGAGGGG
Molecule: non-coding RNA, 640 nt
Organism: Pelobates cultripes (western spadefoot toad)
Lineage: Eukaryota; Metazoa; Chordata; Amphibia; Anura; Pelobatidae
Source: the annotation of a GenBank genome assembly